This 30-nucleotide small RNA is filed under the name Bombyx mori (domestic silkworm). Its description in RNAcentral is "ovarian small RNA-33647". The record is from RNAcentral. Lineage: Eukaryota; Metazoa; Arthropoda; Insecta; Lepidoptera; Bombycidae.
UGCCAAAUAGAUGUUAACAGAUGUCGCUAC